GACAUGCCGCGACCGCCGAUCGACCGGUGUUUGCUAACGCGGAGGUCAAUCGUGGAUCAGGGAAAGCGAAGGCAGGAGCGUGAGGUGAACUGAAUUUCAGGUAAGAAGUUGUGACCUGCACUGUAUUUGGGUCAGAUAUAAACCGAGUUUAGGUGUAGUUUAUUUUCGUUGUGCUGACUUUUUCAAUCACUUACAAUGACUCGUACUGCGUGCUAGCUAGCACUACGGAGUUUGUAUACAGCUGUGUGCGCGCUAAGUUACCGAUGUUACCGAUGUUGAACUUUAUGACAGCCUCCCCUGUCAUUCUCUC
This is a long non-coding RNA of Oreochromis aureus, 310 nucleotides long. NCBI's taxonomy places the organism in Eukaryota, Metazoa, Chordata, Actinopteri, Cichliformes, Cichlidae. The record is from Ensembl.